GAUGAACGCUGGCGGCGUGCCUAAUACAUGCAAGUCGAGCGAACAGACGAGGAGCUUGCUCCUCUGACGUUAGCGGCGGACGGGUGAGUAACACGUGGAUAACCUACCUAUAAGACUGGGAUAACUUCGGGAAACCGGAGCUAAUACCGGAUAAUAUAUUGAACCGCAUGGUUCAAUAGUGAAAGACGGUUUUGCUGUCACUUAUAGAUGGAUCCGCGCCGCAUUAGCUAGUUGGUAAGGUAACGGCUUACCAAGGCAACGAUGCGUAGCCGACCUGAGAGGGUGAUCGGCCACACUGGAACUGAGACACGUUCCAGACUCCUACGGGAGGCAGCAGUAGGGAAUCUUCCGCAAUGGGCGAAAGCCUGACGGAGCAACGCCGCGUGAGUGAUGAAGGUCUUCGGAUCGUAAAACUCUUUUAUUAGGGAAGAAAAAAUGUGUAAGUAACUAUGCACGUCUGGACGGUACCUAAUCAGAAAGCCACGGCUAACUACGUG
RNAcentral lists this ribosomal RNA (497 nucleotides) under uncultured bacterium. Its description in RNAcentral is "partial 16S ribosomal RNA". It matches the Rfam family "Bacterial small subunit ribosomal RNA", at positions 28 to 507 of the family's 1533-position model. The record is from RNAcentral.